GGUGAGGUGUCCGAGUGGCUUAAGGAGCACGCCUGGAAAGUGUGUGAACGCAAGUUCCGAGAGUUCGAAUCUCUCUCUCACCGCCA
RNAcentral lists this transfer RNA (86 nucleotides) under Porticoccus sp. RNAcentral describes it as "tRNA-Ser". It matches the Rfam family "tRNA". From Rfam's summary of the family: Transfer RNA (tRNA) molecules are approximately 80 nucleotides in length. Their secondary structure includes four short double-helical elements and three loops (D, anti-codon, and T loops). The record is from RNAcentral. Lineage: Bacteria; Pseudomonadati; Pseudomonadota; Gammaproteobacteria; Cellvibrionales; Porticoccaceae.